This is a non-coding RNA of Parelaphostrongylus tenuis, 72 nucleotides long. Lineage: Eukaryota; Metazoa; Nematoda; Chromadorea; Rhabditida; Metastrongylidae. The record is from the annotation of a GenBank genome assembly.
GCCUCUGUGGUGCAGUGGUAGCACGCGUCCCGGUUAUGGAUGAACUUGCGGGUUCGACUCCCGUCUGAAAUC